AUGUCGGAAUCUUGUCAUGUUGGACUAAACCAUUGUCUUGUUUUUCCUAGGAUGGUCAACACCCGCAACAACCCUGCUCCCCCAGAGCAGGCCGAAGGUAGCAGAGUUGGGGAUACAAAUCUGCCUCACCCUCCCUCUCUGGCAGAAGUUAUGCUAGAGGCUGAGAGAAACAAGCGGGAGACCAACCGUUUGUUGGAGCGUAUUGAACAGAACACAACACACCAUCAGAGGACUAACUUGGUGUCACUCAGUGAUUUCAUCAAGUUACAUCCACCCACGUUCCACCACUCCGUCGAGCCUCUCGACGCUGAUGACUGGCUUCGCAGUAUUUCUCACAAACUGCGUUCUGCGCUCGUAGCUAAGGCUGAUAGGGUCACCUUUGCUGCAUAUCAUCUCGAAGGCCCUGCCAGUCUCUGGUGGGAGAAUUAUGAAGCUAUGCGUCCAGCGGGCCACGUCACUACUUGGGCUGAAUUCAGCGAGGCUUUCCGUGAACAUCACAUUCCGGAGGGUCUCAUGGACCGUAAACGCGAGGAGUUCUGUAGUUUCACUCAAGGUCGACUCUCUGUUGACGCUUACAGCAGGGAGUUUGGUAACCUUGCCCGUUAUGCAACGGAGGAAGUUUCUACUGAUGCUAAGAAGCAGGCAAGGUUCCGUAAGGGGCUUAGUCCUGAGCUUCGCCGCGACCUCCGUCUGCAUGAGUGCACAUCUUUUCAGAAGCUUGUUAACAAAGCCAUCAGUGCUGAGACUGGUCAGACUGAUUAUGAAGCAACACGCAAGCAUGGUCGUGACUUGGGUUCCUCAUCCGGUGCUGGUCCUCAGAAGCACCGCGUGUGGGUGCCUAACACUACCCUGCCACCUAGGUUCACACCGAGGCCAUCCUUCCAGGCGCCUCGCCCAGCUCAGCCAUAUGCACUAGCCAAGCCCUAUGGUGGUCCAACCAACAAUGCUCCUCCACAUACCAGUUCCGUGACUUGUUUCAAGUGUGGGGAAUCAGGCCACUAUAUGCGCGAGUGUCCCCAAACCAACCCCAACCAGACAGCAAAAACUGUUGGCCGCGGCAAGCCGACAGGGAAAGUGUCCUACGCCAAGCCGGCCACCACUGCCCGUGGCCAUGUUAAUUGUGUUUCUGCGGAAGAGGCUCAAGAAGAUCCCAACGUCGUUCUCGGUACUCUCCUUGUUAAUUGCCACCCGGCAUCUAUUCUUUUCGAUACAGGAGCAUCUCAUUCAUUUAUAUCCGAGAGCUAUGCUCGUCUGCAUAACGCCACAUUCUGUGAGAUGCCCACCUCUAUGGUAAUUCAAACUCCGGGAUCCAAAUGGCAAACUUCUAGAGUAAGCCAUGGAAAUGAAAUUCAAGUCGACAAACUUGUUUUUCUCGCAUCUUUGAUAGCCCUCAAAUCUUCGGAUAUUAAUAUCAUCUUGGGUAUGGACUGGAUGUCAGCCCAUCAUGCCAAAAUUGAUUGCUUAUCUAGGACUGUUCAACUCACCCAUCCUUCGGGGAAGAUAGUCAAUGUCUUGACCCGAAUAGCCAAGCGACAGUUAUAUUCUCUUAACGCCAGCCCUUUGCCAGACCUUGAGGAUGUUCCGGUAGUCCGUGACUUUCCGGAUGUCUUCCUAGAGGAAUUGCCAGGUGUUCCACCUGACAGAGAUGUCGAAUUCGUGAUAGAUCUCAUUCCAGGAACUGUCCCGAUUUCCAGAAGACCCUACAAGAUGGCACCUUUUGAACUAGCCGAGCUUAAGAAACAACUCGAUGAGUCCUUGAAAAAGGGUUUCAUCCGACCUAGUUCAUCUCCUUGGGCUUGCCCCGUCCUCUUCGUCGAGAAGAAGGAUGGUACGGACCGGAUGGUUGUAGAUUAUCGACCUGUCAACUUGGUCACAAUUAAGAACAAGUAUCCGCUCCCCAGGAUCAACGACCUGUAUGAUCAGCUCGCUGGAUCCUCAGUCUUCUCUAAAAUGGAUUUGAGGUUGGGCUACCAUCAAAUCAAAAUCAGAAACGGGGGCAUUCCGAAAACGGCCUUUGUUACUCAUUAUGGCCAAUACGAGUACACCGUCAUGUCCUUCGGUUUAACCAACGCUCCAGCCACCUUCUCUCGGUUGAUGAACUCAAUCUUCAUGGAGUAUUUGGAUAAAUUCGUCGUGGUUUACCUCGAUGAUAUACUCAUCUACUCCAAGAACGAGGAAGAACAUGCCGAACACCUAAGGCUAGUGUUGAAGAAACUUCGAGAGCAUCGCCUUUAUGCCAAAUUUUCUAAAUGUGAAUUCUGGUUGUCAGAAGUGACCUAUCUUGGACAUGUAAUUUCUGGUAAAGGCAUUGCUGUUAACCCUGAGCGAGUUCAAGCCGUCCUUAAUUGGACUCCACCUGAAUCGGUCAAGCAAGUUCGGAGUUUCCUUGGCCUAGCGAGCUAUUGCCGUCGCUUUGUCGAGAAUUUCUCCAAAGUUGCCAAACCUCUAACUGAACUCCUCAAGAAAGAUAAAAAGUUUGAGUGGACUCCACAAUUUGAGCACAGUUUCCAGGAACUGAGAAGACGUUUAACCUCUGCUCCCGUACUGGUACCACCGGAUUUUUCCAAGGAUUUUGUUAUCUACUGCGACGCCUCGCGACAAGGACUAGGUUGCAUUCUCAUGCAAGAUCGACACGUAAUUGCUUACGCUUCACGGCAAUUGCACCCACAUGAGGAGAAUUAUCCUACUCAUGAUCUAGAGCUUGCAGCUGUAGUCCAUGCACUCAAAACAUGGCGACAUUACCUUCUCGGUAAUCGUUGCGAAAUCUACACUGAUCACCAAAGUCUGAAGUAUAUAUUCACCCAACCGGAUUUAAAUCUCAGGCAAAGACGUUGGGUCGAGUUGAUCACAGAUUUCGACUUAGGAAUAACUUACACCCCAGGGAAAGCCAACGUCAUGGCUGAUGCGCUAAGUCGUAAAUCUUAUUGUAACAACCUGAUGUUACAACAAAGUCAGCCGCUUCUCCAUGAGGAAUUUCGGAAGCUUAACCUUCACAUUGUUCCUCAAGGAUUUCUUUCCACCUUGGUGGCAAAACCUACUCUUACGGAUCAAAUCAUUGCUGCCCAAAAGCGAGAUAAGGGAAUAUCUAAGAUCAAGGAGAACAUUGCUAGCGGAGGUGCUAGAUGUUUCUCCACAAAUGAUCAUGGUGUUGUGUACUUUGAGAACCGUUUAGUGGUUCCCAAGAACCAGCAUCUACGGCAGUUGAUCCUUAAGGAGGCUCAUGAAUCUCCUCUCACCAUUCAUCCCGGUAGUACCAAGAUGUAUCAGGACCUACGCCAGAGGUUCUGGUGGACUAGGAUGAAGAGAGAAAUUGCUCAGUAUAUUGCUAAUUGCGACGUCUGCCGUCGUGUAAAAGCAGAGCAUCAACGGCCUGCUGGCACCCUUCAACCCCUAGCUAUUCCUGAAUGGAAAUGGGAUAAAAUUGGUAUGGACUUCAUUACCGGUUUUCCCAGGACCAAGAGAGGGAAUAACGCUAUCUUCGUCGUUAUCGACCGUCUUUCCAAAGUGGCCCAUUUCUUAACUGUUCGUGAGAGUAUAACUGCUAGUCAGUUAGCAGAGUUGUACAUCUCUCGAAUAGUGUCUCUCCAUGGUGUUCCUUUGGAAAUUAACUCGGAUCGAGGAAGUCUUUUCACCUCUCGAUUUUGGGAAAGUUUCCAAAAUGCUAUGGGAACCCGCCUUUCUUUUAGUACCACUUUCCACCCUCAAUCAAGUGGUCAAGUGGAACGCGUCAACCAGAUUCUAGAAGACAUGCUUCGAGCCUCUAUUAUCUCAUUCGGAAUGGAUUGGGAGAAGUGCCUUCCAUUUGCCGAAUUUGCUUAUAACAACAGCUAUCAAUCCAGCUUGGGCAAAGCCCCUUUUGAAGUUCUCUAUGAACGAAGGUGUCGAACGCCUCUUAACUGGUCAGAAACCGGGGAAAGACAAUUCUUUGGCCCGGAUAUGAUUCAGGAAGCAGAAGAGCAAGUUCGCAUCCUUCGUGAAAAGUUGAAAACAGCCCAAUCUCGUCAAAAGAGUCAAUAUGACCGAAAACAUAAGGCUAUGACUUUUGAGGUUGACGAGAAGGCUUACCUUUGGGUUACUCCUCUGAAGGGAACCCAUCGCUUCGGUAUCAAGGGCAAAUUGGCUCCUCGUUACAUUGGACCUUUUCACAUUCUCGCAAAACGAGGAGAAGUUGCCUACCAAUUGGAACUACCUCCGCAUCUCUCCAGAGUCCACGACGUCUUCCACGUUUCUCAACUCAGGCGUUGCUUCUCGGAUCCUAUCCGUGGAGUAGACCACGAAACGCUUGAUCUCCAAGAUAAUCUCACGUAUCGAGAGUACCCCGUUCGUAUCCUCGAUCAAGCUGAGCGUACCACUCGACGUCAUAAUAUCAAGUUUCUCAAGGUUCAAUGGUCGCACCAUUCUGAGAAUGAAGCAACUUGGGAAAGGGAGGAUCAUCUUCGACUCGAGUAUCCUGCCUUCUUCCCGGAGGAACCCAAAUCUCGGGACGAGAUUCUUUUGAGUGGGGGU
RNAcentral lists this ribosomal RNA (4506 nucleotides) under Triticum aestivum (bread wheat). RNAcentral describes it as "partial small subunit ribosomal RNA". The record is from RNAcentral. Lineage: Eukaryota; Viridiplantae; Streptophyta; Magnoliopsida; Poales; Poaceae.